This 442-nucleotide ribosomal RNA is filed under the name uncultured bacterium. RNAcentral's name for it is "partial 16S ribosomal RNA". It matches the Rfam family "Bacterial small subunit ribosomal RNA", at positions 338 to 795 of the family's 1533-position model. The record is from RNAcentral.
CCUACGGGAGGCAGCAGUGGGGAAUAUUGGGCAAUGGGCGCAAGCCUGACCCAGCAACGCCGCGUGAAGGAAGAAGGCUUUCGGGUUGUAAACUUCUUUUGUCAGGGAAGAGUAGAAGACGGUACCUGACGAAUAAGCCACGGCUAACUACGUGCCAGCAGCCGCGGUAAUACGUAGGUGACAAGCGUUGUCCGGAUUUACUGGGUGUAAAGGGCGUGUAGCCGGGUUGACAAGUCAGAUGUGAAAUCCUGCGGCGUAACCGCAGAACUGCAUUUGAAAAUGUUGAUCUUGAGUACUGGAGAGGCAGAUGGAAUUCCUAGUGUAGCGGUGAAAUGCGUAGAUAUUAGGAGGAACACCAGUGGCGAAGGCGGUCUGCUGGACAGCAACUGACGGUGAGGCGCGAAAGCGUGGGGAGCAAACAGGAUUAGAUACCCCUGUAGUC